UCGAGAAUUUUUCACAAUGGGGGCAACCCUGAUGGAGCGACGCCGCGUGGAGGAUGAAGGCCUUCGGGUUGUAAACUCCUGUCAUGCGGGAACAAGCAAGUGAUAGUACCGCAAGAGGAAGAGACGGCUAACUCUGUGCCAGCAGCCGCGGUAAUACAGAGGUCUCAAGCGUUGUUCGGAUUCAUUGGGCGUAAAGGGUGCGUAGGUGGUGACGCAAGUCUGGUGUGAAAUCUCGGAGCUUAACUCCGAAAUUGCACCGGAUACUGCGUGACUCGAGGACUGUAGAGGAGAUCGGAAUUCACGGUGUAGCAGUGAAAUGCGUAGAUAUCGUGAGGAAGACCAGUUGCGAAGGCGGAUCUCUGGGCAGUUCCUGACACUGAGGCACGAAGGCCAGGGGAGCAAACGGGAUUAGAUACCCCCGUAGUCC
This 427-nucleotide ribosomal RNA is filed under the name uncultured bacterium. Its description in RNAcentral is "bacterial SSU rRNA". It matches the Rfam family "Bacterial small subunit ribosomal RNA", at positions 355 to 796 of the family's 1533-position model. The record is from RNAcentral.